Molecule: ribosomal RNA, 253 nt
Filed under: uncultured bacterium
Lineage: Bacteria
Description: partial 16S ribosomal RNA
Rfam family: Bacterial small subunit ribosomal RNA
Source: RNAcentral
UACGUAGGCAGCGAGCGUUGUUCGGAGUUACUGGGCGUAAAGAGUGCGUAGGCGGUUUUCUAAGUUUGGUGUGAAAUCGCCCGGCUCAACUGGGCGGGGUCAGCGGAUACGGCAGAGCUUGAGCAAGCUAGGGGGCAAUGGAAUUCCCGGUGUAGUGGUGGAAUGCGUAGAUAUCGGGAGGAACACCAGUGGCGAAGGCGGUUGCCUGGGGCUUUGCUGACGCUGAUGCGCGAAAGCGUGGGGAGCGAUCCGG